CUCUCUGCUUUCAGCUUCUUUACAGUGUUGCCUUGUGGCAUGGAGUUCAAGCAGCAUUGUACAGGGCUAUCAAAGCAC
Molecule: microRNA precursor, 78 nt
Filed under: Catagonus wagneri (Chacoan peccary)
Lineage: Eukaryota; Metazoa; Chordata; Mammalia; Artiodactyla; Tayassuidae
Description: microRNA 107 (ENSCWAG00000008571.1)
Rfam family: mir-103/107 microRNA precursor family
About the family: This family consists of the mammalian microRNA (miRNA) precursors mir-103 and mir107. Animal miRNAs are transcribed as ~70nt precursors and subsequently processed by the Dicer enzyme to give a ~22nt product.
Source: RNAcentral